This 383-nucleotide ribosomal RNA is filed under the name uncultured eukaryote. RNAcentral's name for it is "partial 18S ribosomal RNA". It matches the Rfam family "Eukaryotic small subunit ribosomal RNA", at positions 592 to 976 of the family's 1831-position model. The record is from RNAcentral.
CAAUAGCGUAUAUUAAAGUUGUUGCGGUUAAAAAGCUCGUAGUUGGAUCUCGGCAGGCAGGGGGUGGUUCGCUCUUAGCGCUACUGCCCCAUUUGCCUGUGUGAUUGGCGGAGGUUUCGGGGUGCUCUUCGUUGAGUGACCCGGGGCGCCGUCAGGUUUACUUUGAAAAAAUUAGAGUGCUCAAAGCAGGCUUUUCACGCUUGAAUAUUCGUGCAUGGAAUAAUGGAAUAGGAACUCGUUUCUAUUUUGUUGGUUUUCGGAAAUCGAGUUAAUGAUUAAUAGGGACAAUUGGGGGCAUUAGUAUUCAGACGACAGAGGUGAAAUUCUCGGACCGUCUGAAGACUAACUACUGCGAAAGCAUUUGCCAAGAGUGUUUUCAUUAA